AGAGGUUUAGUUAAAAGAUAACUUUGGGUUGUCAGGCCAAAAUUGCUGGUUAGAAUCCAGUAGCCUCUG
RNAcentral lists this transfer RNA (69 nucleotides) under Salmacis bicolor rarispina. Its description in RNAcentral is "tRNA-Asp". It matches the Rfam family "tRNA". From Rfam's summary of the family: Transfer RNA (tRNA) molecules are approximately 80 nucleotides in length. Their secondary structure includes four short double-helical elements and three loops (D, anti-codon, and T loops). Further hydrogen bonds mediate the characteristic L-shaped molecular structure. tRNAs have two regions of fundamental functional importance: the anti-codon, which is responsible for specific mRNA codon recognition, and the 3' end, to which the tRNAs corresponding amino acid is attached (by aminoacyl-tRNA synthetases). tRNAs cope with the degeneracy of the genetic code in two manners: having more than one tRNA (with a specific anti-codon) for a particular amino acid; and 'wobble' base-pairing, i.e. permitting non-standard base-pairing at the 3rd anti-codon position. Lineage: Eukaryota; Metazoa; Echinodermata; Echinoidea; Temnopleuroida; Temnopleuridae. The record is from RNAcentral.